RNAcentral lists this ribosomal RNA (497 nucleotides) under uncultured bacterium. RNAcentral describes it as "partial 16S ribosomal RNA". It matches the Rfam family "Bacterial small subunit ribosomal RNA", at positions 28 to 507 of the family's 1533-position model. The record is from RNAcentral.
GAUGAACGCUGGCGGCGUGCCUAAUACAUGCAAGUCGAGCGAACAGAUGAGGAGCUUGCUCCUCUGACGUUAGCGGCGGACGGGUGAGUAACACGUGGAUAACCUACCUAUAAGACUGGGAUAACUUCGGGAAACCGGAGCUAAUACCGGAUAAUAUAUUGAACCGCAUGGUUCAAUAGUGAAAGACGGUAUUGCUGUCACUUAUAGAUGGAUCCGCGCCGCAUUAGCUAGUUGGUAAGGUAACGGCUUACCAAGGCGACGAUGCGUAGCCGACCUGAGAGGGUGAUCGGCCACACUGGAACUGAGACACGGUCCAGACUCCUACGGGAGGCAGCAGUAGGGAAUCUUCCGCAAAGGGCGAAAGCCUGACGGAGCAACGCCGCGUGAGUGAUGAAGGUCUUCGGAUCGUAAAACUCUGUUAUUAGGGAAGAACAAAUGUGUAAGUAACUAUGCACGUCUUGACGGUACCUAAUCAGAAAGCCACGGCUAACUACGUG